GAAUGUCAAUGGGGUCGAGUUUCGGCUUCGACAACACACAGACGAUAAGGAAAAUUCAAGGUGAAAACAAGGCAAACGAAAACAUGGCAAAUAAAACUGGUGCGAACAUAGAUGAAAAUAAUAGAGAAAUAUACAUUAAGGACAAGGAUUUCUACUUAACCAUAUACACUGACCUACAAAAUUAGAGCUGCAAACACGUCGGUCCUGUGGCUUUAGCUUGAGGGACAUCGCUCGUUAGCGAAAUGAAUCCAAGAAAACCAACUCGACCAUCAGAAGCCACCUACUUUCGACGACUGCUCGUGCACGGGUUCCUGGCCAUGGGGAUCGACUGCAGGAGUUGCUAAGUGGCCAUCCAUCAUUACCAAUUAUCAAUGUCAGGUCAUCAAUCAUUCCAAGGUGGGUCACUUCAGAAAUUAGCCGGGACAAACUGGAUGCCUUUAGAGACGAAGGCAGAACCCCGUUGGAACCGAGACCGCGGGGAGAGUGAAAGGCACCCGAACUUCACAUAAAUACGUUUAUUAUAAUUUCAGAUUUUGUUUUGGAAAUAGUUCUUGAGAUAAGCUUGACGUUUCAUAAAAUGUAAUACAUAUAUAUUUCUUCGCGCUAA
Molecule: long non-coding RNA, 607 nt
Organism: Drosophila rhopaloa
Lineage: Eukaryota; Metazoa; Arthropoda; Insecta; Diptera; Drosophilidae
Exons: 2
Source: RefSeq, a predicted model, not a curated record